This 490-nucleotide ribosomal RNA is filed under the name uncultured bacterium. RNAcentral's name for it is "partial 16S ribosomal RNA". It matches the Rfam family "Bacterial small subunit ribosomal RNA", at positions 28 to 507 of the family's 1533-position model. The record is from RNAcentral.
GAUGAACGCUAGCUACAGGCUUAACACAUGCCAGUCGCGGGGCAGCAUGGGGGUUGCUUGCAAUCCCCGAUGGCGACCGGCGCACGGGUGAGUAACGCGUAUCCAACCUGCCCUUCACCACGGGAUAACCCGGCGAAAGUCGGACUAAUACCGUAUGUUGUCCAUUGACGGCAUCCGAUUUGGACGAAAGGUUUGGCGGUGAAGGAUGGGGAUGCGUCCGAUUAGCUGGACGGCGGGGUGACGGCCCACCGUGGCGACGAUCGGUAGGGGUUCUGAGAGGAAGGGCCCCCACACUGGAACUGAGACACGGUCCAGACUCCUACGGGAGGCAGCAGUGAGGAAUAUUGGUCAAUGGGCGUAAGCCUGAACCAGCCAAGUAGCGUGCAGGAUGACGGCCCUAUGGGUUGUAAACUGCUUUUAUGCGGGGAUAAAGUGGCCCACGUGUGGGUUUUUGCAGGUACCGCAUGAAUAAGGACCGGCUAAUUCCGUG